This is a non-coding RNA of Pelobates cultripes (western spadefoot toad), 270 nucleotides long. NCBI's taxonomy places the organism in Eukaryota, Metazoa, Chordata, Amphibia, Anura, Pelobatidae. The record is from the annotation of a GenBank genome assembly.
CAGAGAGGGGAAAUGGAGUGUUGAAGAUAUUAGACACUGUACAUGCAUAAGAGAAAAUGAGGUCAAGGGUAUUGCCAGCUACAUGGGUGGGAGAAUUAGCCCACUGUGAUAUCCCAAAGGAGGAAGUAAUUGAAAGUAGUUUAGAGGGUGAGGUCAGGGGUGGUUUAACUGGAAUAUUGAAGUCCCUGAGAAUUAGGGAUGGUAUGUUAGAGGAGAGGAAGUAGGGUAGCCAGGCAGCAAAGUGCUCAAGGAAGAGGAGAGGGGAACCAG